Non-coding RNA from Aegilops tauschii subsp. strangulata, 1916 nucleotides. The record is from RefSeq and is a predicted model, not a curated record. Lineage: Eukaryota; Viridiplantae; Streptophyta; Magnoliopsida; Poales; Poaceae.
CUCUGUCACUCUACUCUGCUUUUGCUUCUGUAGUUCUUCCUCCUCCGCUUCUGUUCCCUUCCAGAAUCGAAGAGAUGAGAUCAAUCUCAAUCCGUCUCCGCCUCCGUCUCCUACUGCGCAAUCCGUGUCAGUCUUCCAGUACCAACUCCACCGCAGCUCCGAUAAAUACUAGUAGCGGUAGUGUUAGAUCCCAUCGAGAUGUCAGACGACGGUUUUCUUGAAUCUUUGUUCGGCAAGUUCUAUCACGACGAGUCCCUGCGUCCUCCGCCGGAAAGCGGCGAUGGGGAAGCCGAGGAUGAUUCCUGGGACUGGCAUGAAGCCCUCGUCGACAACGCCGCCUACAUGAUCUACGAGCGUAACCACACCACUGCCCAGUGUCCCGUCUCCAGGAAAGUAAGGGGCGGCGGUGUCAAGCAGGAUUUUCUGCAGGUCACUUUCUGCCUCUCCCAGCCACCUCAUAUUUCAUACUUCUGCAUGUCCUACACAAGCAGGGACCCCAGCCAGUUCCGCUGCGAGCCUACCAUCUUCGCAACGGAGGGUAACCUCGCCGUCAUCGGCCUGAUACACAACUGGACCCUGCAGAACUCCCCAAGCUGCGUCUAUUUCGUUUACCGCGCCCCAAUCCUUGGCAGUCAGUUUCCUCAGCUCACACUGCUUCCGCACCCCCCCAGCGAGGUGUUUCCGGAGCAGUAUGAAUCUGAAUGCCAAUUGGGUCAUAACGAAAUUGGCAUCCUGCGCUACCGGUCCAAUAGCGCCAGCAAGCAUCUCCCUUUCACACCGCCCACCCCCACCCUCUCUCACAACCCCCUGCCCCCGCCCUUUCCCGCCGUCGCAAAUCCCACACCACCGGCGACGACUAUGAUGCCUACAAGAUCGCAACGCUUUGCUAUUAUGGUACUAAUCAGUACGUUCUCUACAUCUACGAUUCCGUCGCUGACGCUUGGAGCCGCACACCCACGGCCUUUCCACGGCCGCAGGACGCUCCCCCCGAGCAUCUCUGCAACAGGGUCAUCACCGUAGGAGGCGCCAUGGGCUGGGUCGACCUCUGGCAUGGCAUACUCCUUUGUGACGUGCAUGUCCCCUCUCCUGCUGAGGAGGAGGAAUCCCCCGGCCCUAGGCUGCUCCACUACGUACCGCUGCCGGAGCCAAUGCAGCCGGACAACGACCUCCGUCUUCAUGGCUUCUCCUCCUUCUUCCGGGACAUCGCCGUGGUGAAUGGUCGGAUCAAGUUCGUCGACCUUCAGCUCCAUGCCAGCCCGGGCUCGCGCACCCCGAAUGGUUGGACGGCCGUCACAUGGAGCAUGGCGCCUGGUGAUUCGGGUUUCAGCAAGGACGGAGAACUUAAUUCCUGUGAUUUGGUCAACCCCAUGGAGCCGUCCCUGUUUGUUGCUCACCCCACGCUCAGCUCCCAUCAUGAUGGUGUUCUCUACCUGAUGACCAAGGCCAGCAUGGAUGAUAGUGUGUCACAGGUGAUUGCUGUUAACAUGAAGAACAAGGAGAUAGAGCGAACCGCAAAAUACACCACACACAGAGAAGCUUGUAUGGACUUUGCGUACACGCGCGCAAUCAUCUCUAACUUUCUCGCUCCAGAUUCGAAGGGCACCACAAAGCGACCAGGGUCGGUGUUGCAGGGAUCCUUUCGGAAGAAGCUGCCUGUGAUCAAUCCCAGCACCCAUCUUCCUACGAUGGGUGAUGAAGGGGAUGCUAUGGACUUGGAAUGAUGUUGGGUUAACAUGGUCACCGUUGUCAGGGGUUAUUUGCAAUUCUUUUCAUGGCCAAUUGAGUAUGUUGGAUAUUAGGACACAAUUAAUAGUUUCAAACUUUGCUGGGAUGCCUGUUUGCCCAAUCUAUGAUCAUUGGUUCUGCAAUGUAAUGCUAUAUACAUCUACUAGGUUAAUUAUUUGCCUGCUUAUUCA